Molecule: ribosomal RNA, 253 nt
Filed under: uncultured bacterium
Lineage: Bacteria
Description: partial 16S ribosomal RNA
Rfam family: Bacterial small subunit ribosomal RNA
Source: RNAcentral
UACGGAGGGUGCGAGCGUUUUUCGGAAUCACUGGGCGUAAAGCGCACGCAGGCGGAUCGAUAAGUCGGGGGUGAAAGCCCGGGGCUCAACCUCGGAAUUGCCUUCGAUACUGUCGGUCUCGAGUCCGGGAGAGGUGAGUGGAAUUCCUAGUGUAGAGGUGAAAUUCGUAGAUAUUAGGAAGAACACCAGUGGCGAAGGCGGCUCACUGGCCCGGUACUGACGCUCAGGUGCGAAAGCGUGGGGAGCAAACAGG